This 571-nucleotide ribosomal RNA is filed under the name Shiraia sp. JP151. RNAcentral's name for it is "eukaryotic LSU rRNA". It matches the Rfam family "Eukaryotic large subunit ribosomal RNA", at positions 62 to 648 of the family's 3401-position model. Lineage: Eukaryota; Fungi; Ascomycota; Dothideomycetes; Pleosporales; Shiraiaceae. The record is from RNAcentral.
AAACCAACAGGGAUUGCCCUAGUAACGGCGAGUGAAGCGGCAACAGCUCAAAUUUGAAAUCUGGCUCUUUCAGAGUCCGAGUUGUAAUUUGCAGAGGGCGCUUUGGCGUUGGCAGCGGUCCAAGUUCUUUGGAACAGGACGUCACAGAGGGUGAGAAUCCCGUACGUGGUCGCUAGCCUUCGCCGUGUAAAGCCCCUUCGACGAGUCGAGUUGUUUGGGAAUGCAGCUCUAAAUGGGAGGUAAAUUUCUUCUAAAGCUAAAUACUGGCCAGAGACCGAUAGCGCACAAGUAGAGUGAUCGAAAGAUGAAAAGCACUUUGGAAAGAGAGUCAAAUAGCACGUGAAAUUGUUGAAAGGGAAGCGCUUGCAGCCAGACUUGCCUGUAGUUGCUUAUCCAGACUUCUGUCUGGUGCACUCUUCUGCGGGCAGGCCAGCAUCAGUUUGGGCGGUUGGAUAAAGGUCUCUGUCAUGUACCUCUCUUCGGGGAGGCCUUAUAGGGGAGACGUCAUGCAACCAGCCUGGACUGAGGUCCGCGCAUCUGCUAGGAUGCUGGCGUAAUGGCUGUAAGCGGC